UACGAAGGGGGCUAGCGUUGUUCGGAAUCACUGGGCGUAAAGGGCGCGUAGGCGGCUUUGUAAGUCGGGGGUGAAAGCCUGUGGCUCAACCACAGAAUUGCCUUUGAUACUGUCUGUCUUGAGUCCGGGAGAGGUGAGUGGAAUUCCUAGUGUAGAGGUGAAAUUCGUAGAUAUUAGGAAGAACACCAGUGGCGAAGGCGGCUCACUGGCCCGGUACUGACGCUCAGGUGCGAAAGCGUGGGGAGCAAACAGG
This 253-nucleotide ribosomal RNA is filed under the name uncultured bacterium. RNAcentral describes it as "partial 16S ribosomal RNA". It matches the Rfam family "Bacterial small subunit ribosomal RNA", at positions 524 to 776 of the family's 1533-position model. The record is from RNAcentral.